UGGGGAAUAUUGGACAAUGGGCGCAAGCCUGAUCCAGCCAUGCCGCGUGGAUGAUGAAGGCCUUAGGGUUGUAAAAUCCUUUCGUUGGGGACGAUAAUGACGGUACCCAAAGAAGAAGCUCCGGCUAACUUCGUGCCAGCAGCCGCGGUAAUACGAAGGGGGCUAGCGUUGUUCGGAUUUACUGGGCGUAAAGCGCGUGUAGGCGGGUCGUUAAGUUGGGGGUGAAAUCCCGAGGCUCAACCUCGGAACUGCCUUCAAAACUGGCGACCUGGACCUAAGUAGAGGCAAGUGGAAUUGCGAGUGUAGAGGUGAAAUUCGUAGAUAUUCGCAGGAACACCAGUGGCGAAGGCGACUUGCUGGACUUAUGGUGACGCUGAGACGCGAAAGCGUGGGGAGCAAACAGG
Molecule: ribosomal RNA, 404 nt
Filed under: uncultured bacterium
Lineage: Bacteria
Description: bacterial SSU rRNA
Rfam family: Bacterial small subunit ribosomal RNA
Source: RNAcentral